CUGAAACUGGACCACGGCGGGUGUGUAUUUUAAUCAUUGUAAAGCCAACCAUAAAAGUAUUCUGCCAAGAAAACAUCUAUCAAGCAAAAAGACGAGAUUAUUUAAUACCAACUAGCGAGUGGAGUUGAAACAAAACUACAGCUAGAGAAUUCAUCCUCUCAUAAAACAUCUGCUCAGACAUGUCGGAGAGGCGUUUACCGUGUUUACCGCGUCACAGUGAAAGUUGGGUGGUGAUGUGAUUAUUGAAGCCGG
Molecule: long non-coding RNA, 252 nt
Organism: Asterias rubens (European starfish)
Lineage: Eukaryota; Metazoa; Echinodermata; Asteroidea; Forcipulatida; Asteriidae
Exons: 3
Source: RefSeq, a predicted model, not a curated record